This is a long non-coding RNA of Leopardus geoffroyi (Geoffroy's cat), 741 nucleotides long. RefSeq lists it as uncharacterized. NCBI's taxonomy places the organism in Eukaryota, Metazoa, Chordata, Mammalia, Carnivora, Felidae. The record is from RefSeq and is a predicted model, not a curated record. The transcript has 2 exons.
CUUCUUCCUCCUCCUCUUUCCCCACCUCCUCCCCCUCUGCCACCGCCUCCUCCUACACUACCACCACUCCCUCCGGGGCACCCCGGUCCCUGCAGAGUCCCCGGCCCGUGCCGCCUCUGCUGCGGCCCCCUGGAUCCCGAGCUGGUGGGACAGACGGACGGACAGACACGCAGAUGCCUGGCGCCUAGCUCUCGGCCGCCGCUGCCUCCCGUGGCCCCGCGUCGGGGAAGCGGGGAUCGCCCCGGGAGCACCGCGAGGGUAAGCAGGCAGGGGUGGGUUCCGGGCGAAGGCUAACGGAGCUGUUCGGUUACACCAGUUCCCACCCCCAGCACAACUCCCGGCGGUUUCCCAGGCCCCAAACCGCCGCAGGCUGAGCUCUGUAGAUUCCGGAAUCCACGCUCCGCCAGCCGCCAGACCAGCAGACAACAGAUGAAGGUUCGAGUCUCGGAUCUGUCACUUACUGGCUGGGCAAACACCACAACCUCUCCCGACCUCCAUUUUGUCACCGGUGCAAAUGCGGCCAAGACUGCCUGCGAGGCAGUUGGAGCAGUGGAGGGUAGAAGUCAGGCCUGUUUCGAGGCGUAACAGAACCCUUCUACUUUUGGUGACGGUGGUAAUUACACUUCUCUGAGCGUUUUUCAAAACUCAUAGACCUGUACACUGUACAGGGUGAAUUUUACUGUGUGUUUUACAGAACCCGUUCCAUCCCACCCCCCCACCCCACCCCCCCCACCCCACCCA